UACGUAGGGUCCGAGCGUUGUCCGGAAUUAUUGGGCGUAAAGAGCUCGUAGGCGGUUUGUCGCGUCUGCUGUGAAAUCCCGAGGCUCAACCUCGGGCCUGCAGUGGGUACGGGCAGACUGGAGUGCGGUAGGGGAGAAUGGAAUUCCUGGUGUAGCGGUGGAAUGCGCAGAUAUCAGGAGGAACACCGAUGGCGAAGGCGACAUCCUGGACCGGUAUUGACGCUGAGGCGCGAAAGCCAGGGGAGCAAACGGG
RNAcentral lists this ribosomal RNA (253 nucleotides) under uncultured bacterium. RNAcentral describes it as "partial 16S ribosomal RNA". It matches the Rfam family "Bacterial small subunit ribosomal RNA", at positions 524 to 776 of the family's 1533-position model. The record is from RNAcentral.